This 500-nucleotide ribosomal RNA is filed under the name uncultured bacterium. Its description in RNAcentral is "partial 16S ribosomal RNA". It matches the Rfam family "Bacterial small subunit ribosomal RNA", at positions 28 to 507 of the family's 1533-position model. The record is from RNAcentral.
GACGAACGCUGGCGGCGUGCCUAAUACAUGCAAGUCGAGCGGACUGAUUAAGAGCUUGCUCUUAUGACGUUAGCGGCGGACGGGUGAGUAACACGUGGGCAACCUGCCCUGUAGAUCGGGAUAACACCGAGAAAUCGGUGCUAAUACCGGGUAAUAUCUGAGAUCACAUGAUUUUAGGUUAAAAGAUGGCUCCGGCUAUCACUACAGGAUGGGCCCGCGGCGCAUUAGCUAGUUGGUAAGGUAAUGGCUUACCAAGGCGACGAUGCGUAGCCGACCUGAGAGGGUGAUCGGCCACACUGGGACUGAGACACGGCCCAGACUCCUACGGGAGGCAGCAGUAGGGAAUCUUCCGCAAUGGACGAAAGUCUGACGGAGCAACGCCGCGUGAGUGAUGAAGGGUUUCGGCUCGUAAAGCUCUGUUGUUAGGGAAGAAACAGUACCGAACGAACUAGGUCGGUACCUUGACGGUACCUAACCAGAAAGCCACGGCUAACUACGUG